Molecule: ribosomal RNA, 121 nt
Filed under: Physaloptera alata
Lineage: Eukaryota; Metazoa; Nematoda; Chromadorea; Rhabditida; Physalopteridae
Description: partial 5.8S ribosomal RNA
Rfam family: 5.8S ribosomal RNA
About the family: 5.8S ribosomal RNA (5.8S rRNA) is a component of the large subunit of the eukaryotic ribosome. It is transcribed by RNA polymerase I as part of the 45S precursor that also contains 18S and 28S rRNA. Functionally, it is thought that 5.8S rRNA may be involved in ribosome translocation.
Source: RNAcentral
UCGAUGAAGAACGCAGCUAGCUGCGAUAAAUAGUGCGAAUUGCAGACACAUUGAGCACAAAGAUUUCGAACGCAAAUUGCGCCAUCGGGUUCACUCCCGUUGGCACCUCUGGCUGAGGGUC